Molecule: ribosomal RNA, 396 nt
Filed under: Triticum aestivum (bread wheat)
Lineage: Eukaryota; Viridiplantae; Streptophyta; Magnoliopsida; Poales; Poaceae
Description: partial small subunit ribosomal RNA
Source: RNAcentral
AUGCAGGCAGAGUUCAAGCUGAGCAUAAACGCCUACUUGGCAGACUUUGUCUGCUCCCCGGCCCAUUCGCUAGCAGACAUCAUAGUUUUCAACAACCAGCAUCCUGAGCAGGAGCGGAUGAAAGAUUUUGGGCAGGACGGCCUUAUCGCAGCCCAAAAUACAAAGGACAUUGACCCCGUGGAAAGAGAGGCAAUACAACGGCUAAAGGAACUAUCAGCUAAUGGGCUGGAGAAGCUGAUGAAGGAGCACCAACUAAAUGCGACAGGAGGAUCUAGACAACCUUGGGAGGUUACCUGCUCUGGGUGUUCUCGAGUUAAGCUGCUCCUACGCACGAAAACGCAUGCUGCACAUUGGUGGCUAUGUGCAGUGCAGUUGACACUAUUCCGAAAGGCUUGA